GUGAAUCAUCGAAUCUUUGAACGCAUAUUGCACUCUCUUGGAUUCCGGAGAGUAUUCCUAUUUGAGAGUCAUUUGAAAUUAUAUAAAUUUCUAGAUUUUCCUCGAAUCAAAAAUUGGACGGUCCAUCUUUCUUGUGGUGGUCGCCUAAAAUGCAAGACAAGGUCAUUUCUUGGGUUGCGUGAUACUUUCACUUACCUCGUGACUUCACAAAGAAUCUUCGAGCGUGUUAAGAAUUAUGCUAUAUUUAUACUUCAUUUAUCUCGAGCU
This 267-nucleotide unclassified non-coding RNA is filed under the name Archaeospora ecuadoriana. Its description in RNAcentral is "partial internal transcribed spacer 2". The stretch from base 1 to 71 matches the Rfam family "5.8S ribosomal RNA", at positions 84 to 154 of the family's 154-position model. The record is from RNAcentral. Lineage: Eukaryota; Fungi; Glomeromycota; Glomeromycetes; Archaeosporales; Archaeosporaceae.